Molecule: long non-coding RNA, 202 nt
Organism: Hibiscus syriacus
Lineage: Eukaryota; Viridiplantae; Streptophyta; Magnoliopsida; Malvales; Malvaceae
Exons: 3
Source: RefSeq, a predicted model, not a curated record
AAAUAAAAAUCUUUCAGAAGAAUACAAAGGUCUGAAAUCUUACCGCCUUUCGACGUAUGGAAGUUCGGAAGAAUCUCGAUGUAACAAGUGUCCUUAAAGGAAGUUAUGACAAAAAUUUUCCGACCAUACUGCCAAAAAAGGUAAAACGUUUGCUAGUAUUACACAUUGAAGAAUGCAUGGAUACGUUCAUUGCUAAUUUAUU